CCUACGGGCGGUAGCAGUGGGGAAUAUUCGGCAAUGGACGCAACUCUGACCCAGCAACGCCGCGUGAAUGAUGAAGGUCUUCGGAUCGUAAAGUUCUGUGAUGGGGGAUGAACACAAUGACGGUACCCCAAUAGCAAGCCACGGCUAACUACGUGCCAGCAGCCGCGGUAAUACGUAGGUGGCAAGCGUUAUCCGGAAUGGCUGGGCGUAAAGGGUGCGUAGGUGGUUUAGUAAGUUGGCGGUGUAAUUCUGGGGCUCAACCUCGGCGAUACAGCCAAAACUAGUAGACUAGAGUGCAGGAGGGGUGAGUGGAAUUCCUAGUGUAGCGGUGGAAUGCGUAGAUAUUAGGAAGAACAUCAGGGGCGAAGGCGACUUACUGGACUGUAACUGACGCUGAGGUACGAAAGCGUGGGGAGCAAACAGGAUUAGAUACCCGGGUAGUC
RNAcentral lists this ribosomal RNA (443 nucleotides) under uncultured bacterium. RNAcentral describes it as "partial 16S ribosomal RNA". It matches the Rfam family "Bacterial small subunit ribosomal RNA", at positions 338 to 795 of the family's 1533-position model. The record is from RNAcentral.